UGUUUCCUACGGGAGGCAGCAGUGGGGAAUAUUGCACAAUGGGGGGGACCCUGAUGCAGCGACGCCGCGUGAAGGAAGAAGUAUCUCGGUAUGUAAACUUCUAUCAGCAGGGAAGAAAGAGGACGGUACCUGACUAAGAAGCCCCGGCUAACUACGUGCCAGCAGCCGCGGUAAUACGUAGGGGGCGAGCGUUAUCCGGAUUUACUGGGUGUAAAGGGAGCGGAGACGGCCAUGCAAGCUCGGUGUGAA
Molecule: ribosomal RNA, 249 nt
Filed under: uncultured bacterium
Lineage: Bacteria
Description: partial 16S ribosomal RNA
Rfam family: Bacterial small subunit ribosomal RNA
Source: RNAcentral